Molecule: small nucleolar RNA, 277 nt
Filed under: Escovopsis weberi
Lineage: Eukaryota; Fungi; Ascomycota; Sordariomycetes; Hypocreales; Hypocreaceae
Description: Fungal small nucleolar RNA U3
Rfam family: Fungal small nucleolar RNA U3
About the family: Small nucleolar RNAs (snoRNAs) are involved in the processing and modification of rRNA in the nucleolus. There are two main classes of snoRNAs: the box C/D class, and the box H/ACA class.
Source: Rfam by way of RNAcentral
ACAGCCUUUGCAGGAGAAUCAUUUCUAUAGUAUUCGACCCUUUCUUGGUUCCCUAAAAGAGCCACGAAUCCUACCCUGGUUGAUGAUUGCAUAUCCUCGGCGCCUCAAGAGUGAAUGCUCUUUUGGUCCUCCCGCCCUGUCCGAAAGGAUGGCGGUAGAACCCGGCGAAAGCCUGGGAUCUGCUGUAUAGGGAGUGUUUUGUUGAUGAUCUCGACCCUGCCGGUGUUCGCCCUCUGGGCAUGCCAACAGGGUGGGCGUCGAUGGAUGUCUGACAGGC